This 492-nucleotide ribosomal RNA is filed under the name uncultured bacterium. Its description in RNAcentral is "partial 16S ribosomal RNA". It matches the Rfam family "Bacterial small subunit ribosomal RNA", at positions 29 to 507 of the family's 1533-position model. The record is from RNAcentral.
AGUGAACGCUGGCGGUAGGCCUAACACAUGCAAGUCGAACGGCAGCACAGUAAGAGCUUGCUCUUACGGGUGGCGCGUGGCGGACGGGUGAGGAAUACAUCGGAAUCUACUUUUUCGUGGGGGAUAACGUAGGGAAACUUACGCUAAUACCGCAUACGACCUACGGGUGAAAGCAGGGGAUCUUCGGACCUUGCGCGAUUGAAUGAGCCGAUGUCGGCUUAGCUAGUUGGCGGGGUAAAGGCCCACCAAGGCGACGAUCCGUAGCUGGUCUGAGAGGAUGAUCAGCCACACUGGAACUGAGACACGGUCCAGACUCCGACGGGAGGCAGCAGUGGGGAAUAUUGGACAAUGGGCGCAAGGCUGAUCCAGCCAUACCGCGUGGGUGAAGAAGGCCUUCGGGUUGUAAAGCCCUAUUGUUGGGAAAGAAAAGCAGCAGGUUAAUACCCCGCUGUUCUGACGGUACCCAAAGAAUAAGCACCGGCUAACUUCGUG